AGCAAUUCCAAAAACCUGGUUCCAGCCCUCCCUACCGUCAACUGAAGGGCUGGCUGCCACCAGGGAAGGUCUUUACUUGGAGAUCCCUCCUUUUGGAGUAUUUGGUGAGCCCCAAGCCUUGGAACGGGGCAAGCAAAUCUUUCUUGAGCUGGAUGGUGACCAGCAGCCUUUUUUGGGUGAUUCAGAACUGGUUCUCUGCCAUCGCCUUUCCUGACAGGUGUCUGCAGGAGGUGCUUCCCAGGCCACAGUAAGUGUGCUGUACAAAUGUCAGUGUGCCAGUCCUGUGUGCUCGCUGUGACGCGCUGCCUUGCAGUGGGACAUCUCUCCAGGGGAAAGCCCAGUGUGAUCCUUCCCUGCCAUACCAAGAGAACUGCAAUCCCUCGUCUCCUCAGCCUUUGUGCCCACUUACAUUGUUUGCUUUGAAUGUCUGGAGCCAUCUUGAAACUGAAUCCCUACAAACUGUUCAGAAUGGAAGUGCUGCUCAUUCCAAGACACAAGUAUGUGAUUGUCUUUAAAGCUGGAAAGAAUAAUUUCCUGUGGGUUUGAUAUUCAUUAAUGCCUAAUUUCUUUUUUUCUGAGCCAGAUGGAUUUGGUUUGUGAUGAUUUGAAGCUCUCUGGUGUAAAAGAGAAUGAAAAAUUAAUAUAAAAA
Long non-coding RNA from Gallus gallus (chicken), 649 nucleotides. Lineage: Eukaryota; Metazoa; Chordata; Aves; Galliformes; Phasianidae. The record is from Ensembl.